CCUAUAUUCUCUCUCACUCUUCUGUCUCAUUCCUUCUUAUUUUUUUGUUCUUAAGCUUCGACUAAUUUAAGCAUCAGAGGGCCCUCCAUCGGAGCACCUCUGGUGCAUGCAAACUUUUAUUGUAGGUUCAUCUGGAAGAAGGGCACUUUCAACUGAAUCCAAGCUUUAUGUCGGUGAAUGACCAAUAUCAAUAUGAUGACUUAUAGCAAUAAAUCCUUGUAUAGAAUG
RNAcentral lists this long non-coding RNA (228 nucleotides) under Elaeis guineensis (African oil palm). Its description in RNAcentral is "long non-coding RNA (EGUI_LNC012081)". Lineage: Eukaryota; Viridiplantae; Streptophyta; Magnoliopsida; Arecales; Arecaceae. The record is from RNAcentral.